CAUUAAAAACAUAUGACCAGUUUUAAAGAAAAACAUCUGAUGACUAACUUGUAAGACUAGUUUAAACCUUUUUAUGCAACCGGCCAAUGGAGUGACAAGUGACAAAGACAAUUGCUUUAAAAAAUCUUAAAGAUUUUAGCCAUAAUAAACC
Sinocyclocheilus rhinocerous is the source of this 151-nucleotide long non-coding RNA. RefSeq lists it as uncharacterized. Lineage: Eukaryota; Metazoa; Chordata; Actinopteri; Cypriniformes; Cyprinidae. The record is from RefSeq and is a predicted model, not a curated record. The transcript is spliced from 3 exons.